Molecule: non-coding RNA, 401 nt
Organism: Cinara cedri
Lineage: Eukaryota; Metazoa; Arthropoda; Insecta; Hemiptera; Aphididae
Source: the annotation of a GenBank genome assembly
AUAGUAAUGUUGCUUCCAUAAAGCACAGGUUAGCAUUAAUUAUUGAAAAGAAAAAUAAACAUUUUCAUUAGACAAAUGAACAAUAUCUAAGUCUCAAGAUGUUCUUUGAAAACAAAUAUUAUAUACUCUGAACACUAAUGAACACUAAUUUUAUCUUAUUUUUAAGUAAUGUUACUAAUAUUUACAUUUAAACACAUAAAAUAAUCGUGAAUUUAGCAAUAACAGUGUUUUAUUAGCGACCGGCUAUCCACUAUCUAGCUUGGCCAAUGGCUGAGUUGGCGAUGGUCAAAGUAAAUAAUAGUUGUUCAUGGAACACGAUGUUUAAAUGGCUGGAUGGUUCAAGCAACGCCAAUAACGCAAUUAAUGGCACUUUGGCUGAUGUUUUGGUAAUGUGUCUAUUA